This 444-nucleotide ribosomal RNA is filed under the name uncultured bacterium. RNAcentral describes it as "bacterial SSU rRNA". It matches the Rfam family "Bacterial small subunit ribosomal RNA", at positions 331 to 792 of the family's 1533-position model. The record is from RNAcentral.
CCAGACUCCUACGGGAGGCAGCAGUGGGGAAUAUUGCACAAUGGGGGAAACCCUGAUGCAGCGACGCCGCGUGAGUGAAGAAGUAAUUCGUUAUGUAAAGCUCUAUCAGCAGGGAAGAAAAUGACGGUACCUGAGUAAGAAGCCCCGACUAACUACGUGCCAGCAGCCGCGGUAAUACGUAGGGGGCAAGCGUUAUCCGGAUUUACUGGGUGUAAAGGGAGCGUAGACGGCCAGACAAGUCAGAAGUGAAAGCCCGCGGCUCAACUGCGGGAGUGCUUUUGAAACUGUUUGGCUGGAGUGCAGGAGAGGUAAGUGGAAUUCCUAGUGUAGCGGUGAAAUGCGUAGAUAUUAGGAGGAACACCAGUGGCGAAGGCGGCUUACUGGACUGUAACUGACGUUGAGGCUCGAAAGCGUGGGGAGCAAACAGGAUUAGAUACCCGCGUA